GGCCGAAUGGGAGAAUGGUACACGACGCCUUUCGAUGCCUUUCGAUGACCAAUACCACCGCAAUGCAGAGAUGAACGACGCAACGGUAAUGAACAGAGAACGAAUGGGAGAAUGGGACAAUAAGAGAUGACCGAAUGGGACAAUGGCAAAGUCGAAUGGGAGAGAUUGUGAAUGGGAGAGAACGAUGGUCAGAGAACGAAAGUCUGAAAGUGAAAGAUGAAAAAUGAAACCGCCAAAUUCAAUUUUCAUUCAUUCAAUAACAUCACAAUGCCCAUUCUACCCUUCUCAGCUUUUGGAAAAAUUAAUUUUAAAAGACCAACAACCAUCCAA
RNAcentral lists this long non-coding RNA (330 nucleotides) under Vigna radiata. RNAcentral's name for it is "long non-coding RNA (VRAD_LNC016449)". The record is from RNAcentral. Lineage: Eukaryota; Viridiplantae; Streptophyta; Magnoliopsida; Fabales; Fabaceae.